Molecule: long non-coding RNA, 745 nt
Filed under: Olea europaea subsp. europaea
Lineage: Eukaryota; Viridiplantae; Streptophyta; Magnoliopsida; Lamiales; Oleaceae
Source: RNAcentral
CAGAUACUUGGGCUCACUUGCGCUAUGAACGAGAUAAAAUAUCCCGAAGGAGAUCACAGAGAGAAACUCUCUCUACCUUGUCUUACAGAAUACAACAGUAAUCCUAUGAACAGAUUUUGAAGAAGAAAGAAAUAAAUUGCUGCUCAAGUUUUUCUAUUUUCUAUUUUCCUCUUCUUGUGAUAUGAUCAACAGAACCUUCCUCUCAUACAAGAAUAAAAACUGUUAAACAAAGACUCAAUCAAACAGAAGAGGUCACCUGUCUGGGUUCCUUCUUAACCGAAGAAAAUGCCACCCCAGCCCUUCUGCACGAAUUAUUCUCCCACCUUUUGUCGUCAGGACAAAAAUUCCUCGACAUCUUCUGAUAACCGCAUUGUCCAAACAGCAAAGAGUAAUUCUAUUUAUCUCCAUUACAAUUAAUCACCAGCUGUCUAUGUGGCAAGUGACAUGUUAUUAAAUGAAAAGACAAAUUUUAAAUGUAUGGAUAUGAAAUAAUCAUUUUUGCCACAUCAUAUGAAGGUCAUCUCUAAUGGAGAUAAAUAACAUUAUUCAGCAACAUAAGAGUGCCUUUGGACACAGGGAAACAUCUGAAGGUGCCUACUCCUUUUUACAAGGAAAUUCCUUGCCUUAAGCAGAACUUCCUUCGUAACUUCCAUGAAAAAGGGAGAAUUUUGAAAACUAAUAGAGAAUAUCGUAAUCUGAUAGCAGAAGCAUGAUCACAUGGCAACUCAUGCAUUAGCAGCUGGGG